UUUGACACCCCCUACGUCACAACUGUGUCCAGGCUGCAUGGCUGCCAGCAACCCAGUCUGUGUGUCCCUGCCUGCAGCAGGGCUCGGAACUCCGUGAUCUUAAAGGAAUCACAGCAAGCUGAUGAAGAUCACUCAAUGACCUGAAUCUUAUGAAGUUAAGUGACAAUGGAGGGUGUGGGGCGGAACGCAGCAGCACAUCGUAGCAGCACAAUAUUCUCUUCUUUCAUAUGGCAUUGAGGAAGGAGAGUUUUCAACUGGAAUAAAUGCACACUAAUUCACUACUGAGUGUGCUGAUAUGUGUCAGUUCAGAACCUGAAGCAUGUUUCCAUCUUUCAUCAAUGACCUCAACAGGCCAUCUGACAGUUGCCAUGCUAACAUCUAGUUGAUAAUCUUAGUUCAGUUUUAAAUAAAGUUUAAUGAUUGAAACAA
This is a non-coding RNA of Meleagris gallopavo (turkey), 429 nucleotides long. The record is from RefSeq and is a predicted model, not a curated record. Lineage: Eukaryota; Metazoa; Chordata; Aves; Galliformes; Phasianidae.